RNAcentral lists this ribosomal RNA (538 nucleotides) under uncultured bacterium. Its description in RNAcentral is "bacterial SSU rRNA". It matches the Rfam family "Bacterial small subunit ribosomal RNA", at positions 778 to 1314 of the family's 1533-position model. The record is from RNAcentral.
AUAGAUACCCCGGUAGUCCACGCCCUAAACGAUGCGAACUGGAUGUUGGGUACAUUACAGUACUCAGUGUCGAAGCUAACGCGUUAAGUUCGCCGCCUGGGGAGUACGGUCGCAAGACUGAAACUCAAAGGAAUUGACGGGGGCCCGCACAAGCGGUGGAGUAUGUGGUUUAAUUCGAUGCAACGCGAAGAACCUUACCUGGCCUUGACAUCUGUCGAAUCCUGCAGAGAUGCGGGAGUGCCGCAAGGAACGACAAGACAGGUGCUGCAUGGCUGUCGUCAGCUCGUGUCGUGAGAUGUUGGGUUAAGUCCCGCAACGAGCGCAACCCUUGUCCUUAGUUGCCAGCACGUAAUGGUGGGAACUCUAAGGAGACCGCCGGUGACAAACCGGAGGAAGGUGGGGAUGACGUCAAGUCCUCAUGGCCCUUACGGCCAGGGCUACACACGUACUACAAUGGUCGGUACAGAGGGUUGCGAAGCCGCGAGGUGGAGCCAAUCCCAGAAAGCCGAUCCCAGUCCGGAUUGGAGUCUGCUAACCG